This 565-nucleotide long non-coding RNA is filed under the name Homo sapiens (human). Its description in RNAcentral is "HSALNT0343745". The record is from RNAcentral. Lineage: Eukaryota; Metazoa; Chordata; Mammalia; Primates; Hominidae.
CACCAGCCGAAGGUGGGGCUACAGUAAGGGGUAGGAAAGGGGAAGAAGAUAUGAUCCAGUUGUCUCCUAUGAAAAGACCAAUUCUGCCAGCAAAACGUAGGAUUACCAGACAAUGAACUAGCACUUUACAAAGUGUAAAGGCAUUUUGGAGACACAGGCUGGGAAGAGUCUGGACAAGGCAAGGAGAGACUUGAGCCCAGGAGUGGAUCAAGAGGAAGAUGUGGAUGGUGCUUCUGCAAGGCACGGCCUAUGUUAUUCACUAGAAGGUGAGCUCAAUUCUAGAAGAUGUUUCUUCAGUGUGCCCAGCUCCUGGAAAAGUGGACUCAAGAGAGGUUCUGGUGACAAAAAACCUCCACAAGAAACUACAGUUUCAAUCCACAGUGGGUUGCGCCUGCAAAGAAAUUUUUACAACACCAACCAUUCCUAAGGACCAUCUAUUCCUUCCUUAAUUAAAAGUAUAUAGUUAAAAAUACUUAGAGAAACAGCUUAGAAUAGUCUUUAGAGUCAGACAGACUGAAAAUGUCUGUAUUCAUGUGAACCUGGAAGUGUCAUUGGCCCUCUCUGA